UCCUAGCCCUGAUGGGAACGGCAUCCUUUUUUUGGUAGGGAAAAGCCCGGCAAAAAAAGAUACAGUGAACAGCAGGAUCAAGC
This 83-nucleotide small RNA is filed under the name Chryseobacterium taichungense. Its description in RNAcentral is "Flavo-1 RNA". It matches the Rfam family "Flavo-1 RNA". The record is from RNAcentral. Lineage: Bacteria; Pseudomonadati; Bacteroidota; Flavobacteriia; Flavobacteriales; Weeksellaceae.